This 470-nucleotide ribosomal RNA is filed under the name uncultured bacterium. RNAcentral describes it as "partial 16S ribosomal RNA". It matches the Rfam family "Bacterial small subunit ribosomal RNA", at positions 28 to 507 of the family's 1533-position model. The record is from RNAcentral.
GACGAACGCUGGCGGCGUGCUUAACACAUGCAAGUCGAACGCUGAAGCACCAGCUUGCUGGUGUGGAUGAGUGGCGAACGGGUGAGUAAUACGUGAGUAACCUGCCCUUGACUCUGGGAUAAGCCCGGGAAACUGGGUCUAAUACUGGAUGCUACAUGUCACCGCAUGGUGGUGUGUGGAAAGGGUUUACUGGUCUUGGAUGGGCUCACGGCCUAUCAGCUUGUUGGUGGGGUAAGGGCUCACCAAGGCGACGGCGGGUAGCCGGCCUGGGAGGGUGACCGGCCACACUUGGACUGAGACACGGCCCAGACUCCCACGGGGGGCAGCAGGGGGGAAUAUUGCACAAUGGGCGAAAGCCUGAUGCAGCGACGCCGCGUGGGGGAUGACGGCCUUCGGGUUGUAAACCUCUUUCAGCAGGGAAGAAGCCACAAGUGACGGUACCUGCAGAAGAAGCGCCGGCUAACUACGUG